This 429-nucleotide ribosomal RNA is filed under the name bacterium. RNAcentral's name for it is "partial 16S ribosomal RNA". It matches the Rfam family "Bacterial small subunit ribosomal RNA", at positions 355 to 776 of the family's 1533-position model. The record is from RNAcentral.
UAGGGUAUCUUCCACAAUGGACGCAAGUCUGAUGGAGCAACGCCGCGUGAGUGAAGAAGGUUUUCGGAUCGUAAAGCUCUGUUGUUGGUGAAGAAGGAUAGAGGCAGUAACUGGUCUUUAUUUGACGGUAAUCAACCAGAAAGUCACGGCUACCUACGUGCCAGCAGCCGCGGUAAUACGUAGGUGGCAAGCGUUUUCCGGAUUUAUUGGGCGUAAAGCGAGCGCAGGCGGAAUGAUAAGUCUGAUGUGAAAGCCCACGGCUCAACCGUGGAACUGCAUCGGAAACUGUCAUUCUUGAGUGCAGAAGAGGAGAGUGGAAUUCCAUGUGUAGCGGUGGAAUGCGUAGAUAUAUGGAAGAACACCAGUGGCGAAGGCGGCUCUCUGGUCUGCAACUGACGCUGAGGCUCGAAAGCAUGGGUAGCGAACAGG